RNAcentral lists this ribosomal RNA (497 nucleotides) under uncultured bacterium. RNAcentral describes it as "partial 16S ribosomal RNA". It matches the Rfam family "Bacterial small subunit ribosomal RNA", at positions 28 to 507 of the family's 1533-position model. The record is from RNAcentral.
GAUGAACGCUGGCGGCGUGCCUAAUACAUGCAAGUCGAGCGAACGGACGAGAAGCUUGCUUCUCUGAUGUUAGCGGCGGACGGGUGAGUAACACGUGGAUAACCUACCUAUAAGACUGGGAUAACUUCGGGAAACCGGAGCUAAUACCGGAUAAUAUUUUGAACCGCAUGGUUCAAAAGUGAAAGACGGUCUUGCUGUCACUUAUAGAUGGAUCCGCGCUGCAUUAGCUAGUUGGUAAGGUACCGGCUUACCAAGGCAACGAUGCAUAGCCGACCUGAGAGGGUGAUCGGCCACACUGGAACUGAGACACGGUCCAGACUCCUACGGGAGGCAGCAGUAGGGAAUCUUCCGCAAUGGGCGAAAGCCUGACGGAGCAACGCCGCGUGAGUGAUGAAGGUCUUCGGAUCGUAAAACUCUGUUAUUAGGAAAGAACAUAUGUGUAAGUAACUGUGCACAUCUUGACGGUACCUAAUCAGAAAGCCACGGCUAACUACGUG